RNAcentral lists this long non-coding RNA (378 nucleotides) under Oryza brachyantha (malo sina). RNAcentral's name for it is "long non-coding RNA (OBRA_LNC000314)". The record is from RNAcentral. Lineage: Eukaryota; Viridiplantae; Streptophyta; Magnoliopsida; Poales; Poaceae.
GGGUCGCUCAGGGGGAGGAGUAGUGGAAGCAGUUGCUGUUGCUUUCUUGGCUCUGCUCCUGCUGCUUCUCUUGGCCUCCUCCAACCUUGUGCUGCAUCUCCCGAUCUCUCUUUUGAUCUUCUCUUCUGUCUGUGACCACUUCUCCCUUCUCCUCUCCUCUUUUAGAUGACUUCACUUCUCUCUCUCUCUCUCUCUCUAACACAUCACACACACCUCUUUCUUGCUUGUUACUGUUCUCUUUUAUUUAUUUCUCCCAGUCUCUCUCUCUCUAUCCCUCUGCUUUGGGGUUGCUCUCUCUCUCUCUCAAGUGUCAAGUGGUGUAAUAUGCUUGAGAUUUUUAGAGGGUAGAGUAUGUAUGGGGGAGGGAGGGCAACAUGG